This 66-nucleotide transfer RNA is filed under the name Vibrio cholerae HC-48B2. RNAcentral's name for it is "partial tRNA-Gly". It matches the Rfam family "tRNA", at positions 11 to 71 of the family's 71-position model. From Rfam's summary of the family: Transfer RNA (tRNA) molecules are approximately 80 nucleotides in length. Their secondary structure includes four short double-helical elements and three loops (D, anti-codon, and T loops). Lineage: Bacteria; Pseudomonadati; Pseudomonadota; Gammaproteobacteria; Vibrionales; Vibrionaceae. RNAcentral also lists the same sequence under 8 other names. The record is from RNAcentral.
CUCAGUUGGUAGAGCGCAACCUUGCCAAGGUUGAGGUCACGAGUUCGAACCUCGUGUGUCGCUCCA